RNAcentral lists this unclassified non-coding RNA (328 nucleotides) under soil metagenome. Its description in RNAcentral is "partial contains 5.8S ribosomal RNA, internal transcribed spacer 2, and large subunit ribosomal RNA". The stretch from base 1 to 120 matches the Rfam family "5.8S ribosomal RNA", at positions 35 to 154 of the family's 154-position model. The record is from RNAcentral.
GAUGAAGAACGCAGCGAAAUGCGAUAAGUAAUGUGAAUUGCAGAAUUCAGUGAAUCAUCGAAUCUUUGAACGCACAUUGCGCCCCCUGGUAUUCCGGGGGGCAUGCCUGUUCGAGCGUCAUUUCAACUCUCAAGCUCUGCUUGGUAUUGAGUCCAUGUCAGCAAUGGCAGGCUCCAAAAUCAGUGGCGGCGCCGCUGGGUCCUGAACGUAGUAAUAUCUCUCGUUACAGGUGCUCGGCGUGCUUCUGCCAAAACCCCAAUUUUUCUAUGGUUGACCUCGGAUCAGGUAGGGAUACCCGCUGAACUUAAGCAUAUCAAUAAGCGGAGGA